UACGGGGGGGGCAAGCGUUGUUCGGAAUUACUGGGCGGAAAGGGCUCGUAGGCGGCCAACUAAGUCAAACGUGAAAUCCCUCGGCUUAACCGGGGAACUGCGCUUGAUACUGGAUGGCUUGAGAUUGGGAGAGGGAUGCGGAAUUCCAGGUGUAGCGGUGAAAUGCGUUGAUAUCGGAAGGAACGCCGGUGGCGAAAGCGACGGACUGGAUCUCUUCUGACGCUGAGGCGCGAAAGCCAGGGGAGCAAACGGG
RNAcentral lists this ribosomal RNA (253 nucleotides) under uncultured bacterium. RNAcentral describes it as "partial 16S ribosomal RNA". It matches the Rfam family "Bacterial small subunit ribosomal RNA", at positions 524 to 776 of the family's 1533-position model. The record is from RNAcentral.